GACGAACGCUGGCGGCGUGCCUAACACAUGCAAGUCGAGCGGGGUUGAAGCGAGGGGUAACUCGAGUUUCUACCUAGCGGCGGACGGGUGAGUAACGCGUGGGCAACCUGCCUCAAGGACUGGGAUAACAGCUCGAAAGGGCUGCUAAUACCGGAUAUGCCUGUGGCCUCGCAUGGGGCUAUGAGCAAAGGGGAAACCCGCCUUGAGAUGGGCCCGCGUCCCAUCAGCUAGUUGGUGAGGUGAAGGCUCACCAAGGCGACGACGGGUAGCCGGCCUGAGAGGGUGACCGGCCACACUGGGACUGAGACACGGCCCAGACUCCUACGGGGGGCAGCAGUGGGGAAUCUUGCACAAUGGGCGAAAGCCUGAUGCAGCGACGCCGCGUGAGCGAAGAAGGCCUUCGGUGUAAGCUCUGUCUGGAGGGACGAAGGAAGUGACGGUACCUCCGGAGGAAGCCACGGCUAACUACGUGCCAGCAGCCGCGGUAAUAGUCACGUCGC
Molecule: ribosomal RNA, 500 nt
Filed under: uncultured bacterium
Lineage: Bacteria
Description: bacterial SSU rRNA
Rfam family: Bacterial small subunit ribosomal RNA
Source: RNAcentral